UUAAAGGCUUUGUCCACAGGGUGGUACUAC
This 30-nucleotide non-coding RNA is filed under the name Mus musculus (house mouse). The record is from RNAcentral. Lineage: Eukaryota; Metazoa; Chordata; Mammalia; Rodentia; Muridae. RNAcentral also lists the same sequence under 1 other name.